Molecule: ribosomal RNA, 456 nt
Filed under: uncultured bacterium
Lineage: Bacteria
Description: bacterial SSU rRNA
Rfam family: Bacterial small subunit ribosomal RNA
Source: RNAcentral
UACGGGAGGCAGCAGUGGGGAAUAUUGCACAAUGGGCGCAAGCCUGAUGCAGCCAUGCCGCGUGUAUGAAGAAGGCCUUCGGGUUGUAAAGUACUUUCAGCGGGGAGGAAGGCGAUGCGGUUAAUAACCGCGUCGAUUGACGUUACCCGCAGAAGAAGCACCGGCUAACUCCGUGCCAGCAGCCGCGGUAAUACGGAGGGUGCAAGCGUUAAUCGGAAUUACUGGGCGUAAAGCGCACGCAGGCGGUCUGUUAAGUCAGAUGUGAAAUCCCCGGGCUUAACCUGGGAACUGCAUUUUGAAACUGGCAGGCUUGAGUCUUGUAGAGGGGGUAGAAUUCCAGGUGUAGCGGUGAAAUGCGUAGAGAUCUGGAGGAAUACCGGUGGCGAAGGCGGCCCCUGGGACAAAGACUGACGCUCAGGGUGCGAAAGCGUGGGGAGCAAACAGGAUUAGGAUACC